AUCCAGCUGACGAGUUCCAAAUAGAAUGAAAGGUGUAUCCUGGAU
RNAcentral lists this non-coding RNA (45 nucleotides) under Schistosoma mattheei. Lineage: Eukaryota; Metazoa; Platyhelminthes; Trematoda; Strigeidida; Schistosomatidae. The record is from RNAcentral.